RNAcentral lists this ribosomal RNA (497 nucleotides) under uncultured bacterium. Its description in RNAcentral is "partial 16S ribosomal RNA". It matches the Rfam family "Bacterial small subunit ribosomal RNA", at positions 28 to 507 of the family's 1533-position model. The record is from RNAcentral.
GAUGAACGCUGGCGGCGUGCCUAAUACAUGCAAGUCGAGCGAACAGAUAAGGAGCUUGCUCCUUUGACGUUAGCGGCGGACGGGUGAGUAACACGUGGAUAACCUACCUAUAAGACUGGGAUAACUUCGGGAAACCGGAGCUAAUACCGGGUAACAUAUUGAACCGCAUGGUUCAAUAGUGAAAGGCGGCUUUGCUGUCACUUAUAGAUGGAUCCGCGCCGUAUUAGCUAGUUGGUAAGGUAACGGCUUACCAAGGCAACGAUACGUAGCCGACCUGAGAGGGUGAUCGGCCACACUGGAACUGAGACACGGUCCAGACUCCUACGGGAGGCAGCAGUAGGGAAUCUUCCGCAAUGGGCGAAAGCCUGACGGAGCAACGCCGCGUGAGUGAUGAAGGUCUUCGGAUCGUAAAACUCUGUUAUCAGGGAAGAACAAAUGUGUAAGUAACUGUGCACAUCUUGACGGUACCUGAUCAGAAAGCCACGGCUAACUACGUG